CCUACGGGAGGCAGCAGUGGGGGAUAUUGCACAAUGGGGGGAACCCUGAUGCAGCGACGCCGCGUGGGUGAAGAAGCGCCUCGGCGCGUAAAGCCCUGUCAGCAGGGAAGAAAAUGACGGUACCUGAAGAAGAAGCACCGGCUAACUACGUGCCAGCAGCCGCGGUAAUACGUAGGGGGCAAGCGUUAUCCGGAUUUACUGGGUGUAAGGGGGGCGCAGGCGGGGAGGGAAGCCAGGGGUGAAAGCCCGGGGCCCAAGCCCGGGAGUGCUCUUGGAACUGCGUGGCUGGAGUGCAGGAGGGGCAGGCGGAAUGCCUGGUGUAGCGGUGAAAUGCGUAGAUAUCAGGAGGAACACCGGUGGCGAAGGCGGCCUGCUGGACUGCAACUGACGUUGAGGCCCGAAAGCGUGGGGAGCAAACAGGAUUAGAUACCCCUGUAGUC
RNAcentral lists this ribosomal RNA (440 nucleotides) under uncultured bacterium. RNAcentral describes it as "partial 16S ribosomal RNA". It matches the Rfam family "Bacterial small subunit ribosomal RNA", at positions 338 to 795 of the family's 1533-position model. The record is from RNAcentral.